CUUCAUGUUUACAUUCUUGCCAGUGGUGCUGAUACUUUUUUGUAUCACAACCGCUUGUUUCAGCUGUUCCAAGUAUUGAAGCAUUACUUAUGCAAGUACUUAGAGAGGGCUGCCCAUUACAAAAGAAGAGCUCAUCACGAUGCUGUGAUGGUAUGUUUUCAAAACUGGAAAAAAAUCUGUGCUAUGGUGGCCUUAAAUAUGUGCUCAACAUUUUGAAAAAUGUGAACAGCAAAAACAGUUGUCACUAUGCAGUGUAUUUGGACAACGGAAGCAUUCUUGAAUCAGACUGCUUCAGUUUAUAUCGAAGACGUAUUGCUUGUCAUACCCUGUGAGGCUGUGACCAACUUCACAGGACUAUCUUCAAAUUUAGAUUACAUGCCUAGUAUGAAAGAGAUCAAGUAUAUUACCGAAAUUGGCUAUCUCAAUUCGCGACUUCCGAACUCCUCAGUCUGUCAUUCUGAUGCAGGGGUCCUGAAAGAAGUUGGAACGUUUUGAACCAUCUCAUCCAAUAAGUAUUAGAAAAUAGGUAGUCGCUUAAUGAUUAGUUUCUUCGCUGCCCGUCAACUUACCAUCCAAGCAAGCACUAUGUCUGCCAAAUCGUUAGCUGAAUACAAUUAAUGCUAGUAGUUCACCAAAACAAGAGGUUAAGAAUCGUACUGAAUCAAAAAGAGGUAUCUAGUCGAGCCAAAUUUGAUAAUGAUAACGGUUGGAAGUCCGACGGAAUUUUUGAAAAAUGCUUCCUGCCCAUUACCUUCAAUCGUUGCUGCGGCCCGAAAACAAAGUAUUAAAAGUUAUAUAAAUUGAAGUGCAUAUCUGGGCUCCCUUCUUUUCUGUGGCUCCGUUUACCUUUGAUUUGUAAUAAGCCCGUAGGGGGUCAUGCCCCUACUGUGAUCAGCAGCAAAGGUUGUGAGUGCGCUGUCUGGAAACGGGACGUGGGGGUCCUCAUGGUCCGAUGAUAUCAUUGGAGGGUUAUGGGGCUACCCAAAAAUCCGAAUUAACAGUUAAUCGCUCACGUAAAAGCUUGUCCGAAACCUUCGCUCUUCUUCCGGCUUCUCUUAGCCACGCACCGGGUAAUCUCCCCGGUGAGUCAACUGAGGUAGUGUCUCCCCCUACCUUGGUUGACAGCAAGUUUGAA
Molecule: long non-coding RNA, 1135 nt
Organism: Daphnia carinata
Lineage: Eukaryota; Metazoa; Arthropoda; Branchiopoda; Diplostraca; Daphniidae
Exons: 6
Source: RefSeq, a predicted model, not a curated record